UACGGGGGGAGCAAACGUUGUUCGGAAUUACUGGGCGUAAAGGGCGCGUAGGCGGUCCUGUAAGUGGUGUGUGAAAUCCGAUGGCUCAACCAUCGAGCUGCGCUCCAUACUGCAGGACUUGAGUACAGCAGAGGAAAGUGGAAUUCCCGGUGUAGCGGUGAAAUGCGUAGAUAUCGAGAAGAACACCGGUGGCGAAGGCGGCCAUCUGGACGGUGACUGACGCUGAGACGCGAAAGCGUGGGGAGCAAACAGG
RNAcentral lists this ribosomal RNA (253 nucleotides) under uncultured bacterium. RNAcentral describes it as "partial 16S ribosomal RNA". It matches the Rfam family "Bacterial small subunit ribosomal RNA", at positions 524 to 776 of the family's 1533-position model. The record is from RNAcentral.